Molecule: ribosomal RNA, 274 nt
Filed under: uncultured bacterium
Lineage: Bacteria
Description: partial 16S ribosomal RNA
Rfam family: Bacterial small subunit ribosomal RNA
Source: RNAcentral
AUACGGAGGUUGCGAGCGUUAAUCGGAAUUACUGGGCGUAAAGCGCGCGUAGGCGGCUAGGUCAGUCGGAUGUGAAAGCCCCGGGCUCAACCUGGGAAUUGCAUUCGAAACUGCCUGGCUAGAGUAUGGGAGAGGGAAGCGGAAUUUCCGGUGUAGCGGUGAAAUGCGUAGAUAUCGGGAGGAACACCAGUGGCGAAGGCGGCUUCCUGGACCAAUACUGACGCUGAGGCGCGAAAGCGUGGGGAGCAAACAGGAUUAGAAACCCCAGUAGUCC